GUGGUUUAAUUUGAAGCAACGCGAAGAACCUUACCAGGUCUUGACAUCCAGUGCAAACUUAAGAGAUUAGGUGUUCCCUUCGGGGACGCUGAGACAGGUGGUGCAUGGCUGUCGUCAGCUCGUGUCGUGAGAUGUUGGGUUAAGUCCCGCAACGAGCGCAACCCUUGUCAUUAGUUGCCAUCAUUAAGUUGGGCACUCUAAUGAGACUGCCGGUGACAAACCGGAGGAAGGUGGGGAUGACGUCAAGUCAUCAUGCCCCUUAUGACCUGGGCUACACACGUGCUACAAUGGACGGUACAACGAGAAGCGAACCUGCGAAGGCAAGCGGAUCUCUUAAAGCCGUUCUCAGUUCGGACUGUAGGCUGCAACUCGCCUACACGAAGCUGGAAUCGCUAGUAAUCGCGGAUCAGCACGCCGCGGUGAAUACGUUCCCGGGCCUUGUACACACCGCCCGUCACACCAUGAGAGUCUGUAACACCCAAAGCCGGUGGGAUAACCUUUAUAGGAGUCAGCCGUCUAAGGUAGGACAGAUGAUUAGGGUGAAGUCGUAACAAGGUAGCCGU
RNAcentral lists this ribosomal RNA (563 nucleotides) under uncultured bacterium. Its description in RNAcentral is "bacterial SSU rRNA". It matches the Rfam family "Bacterial small subunit ribosomal RNA", at positions 941 to 1503 of the family's 1533-position model. The record is from RNAcentral.